This 460-nucleotide ribosomal RNA is filed under the name uncultured bacterium. Its description in RNAcentral is "partial 16S ribosomal RNA". It matches the Rfam family "Bacterial small subunit ribosomal RNA", at positions 338 to 795 of the family's 1533-position model. The record is from RNAcentral.
CCUACGGGAGGCAGCAGUGAGGAAUAUUGGUCAAUGGACGAGAGUCUGAACCAGCCAAGUAGCGUGAAGGAUUACUGCCCUAUGGGUUGUAAACUUCUUUUAUAUGGGAAUAAAAUGUUCCACGUGUGGGCUUUUGUAUGUACCAUAUGAAUAAGGAUCGGCUAACUCCGUGCCAGCAGCCGCGGUAAUACGGAGGCUCCGAGCGUUAUCCGGAUUUAUUGGGUUUAAAGGGAGCGUAGGUGGAUUGUUAAGUCAGUUGUGAAAGUUUGCGGCUCAACCGUAAAAUUGCAGUUGAAACUGGCAGUCUUGAGUACAGUAGAGGUGGGCGGAAUUCGUGGUGUAGCGGUGAAAUGCUUAGAUAUCACGAAGAACUCCGAUUGCGAAGGCAGCUCACUGGACUGCAACUGACACUGAGGCUCGAAAGUGUGGGUAUCAAACAGGAUUAGAUACCCCAGUAGUC